Molecule: non-coding RNA, 751 nt
Organism: Paramuricea clavata
Lineage: Eukaryota; Metazoa; Cnidaria; Anthozoa; Malacalcyonacea; Plexauridae
Source: the annotation of a GenBank genome assembly
UUCAAAAGUAAGGAAAGUGCCCGCAGAUAUUCUCCUGGUAUUCAAACCUGGCAAAUACCAAAUUCAAGCAAUCCCAAGUAUAAUUUACUCCACACGAUUUAUACGAAGAUUUCAUAUUUUUUGUUUUCCAUUUUAGGAUAAUAUAUGAAUACCAAUUGAAGAUCAACGACGCUGGCGUUUUAAUACUUAGAUAAUUUAGCACUAUUGUUGCAUAUACUUAACAUUUUUAGACGAAUCAUAGACUCAGGGGCGUGGCAAAAUGAUGGGGUGUCAUAUUGAUAAUAAUCACGUUUCUCAAUGAGUAUGAGAACGAUUUUCUUUUCUUUUUGUUGAAGGAAUAUUGCAGCUUUUUCAUCACAGAAUAUGUUAAAUGUGCUCGUUAGGGCUUGUUGGGUAUGUACUUUUCAAUAAUAGUUGAAAAAGCUUCUGACCAAAAACGUAUUUUUAAACUUUCAGCCCAUUUUCAGCAAAACCCCAAAAUGUUUGACUAAUAGCAAAUCAUUUUUGAUGAACCUGUUAACGAUUUUUUUAGGGGAGGGGAGGGGAGGGAAGGGCUGUCGCGUCCUCCUCGCCUCCCGGUUGCCACACCCUGCCGAGACUACUUUCUAUUUCUAUAUACUCAGCUUAGAAUUUUUAUUACAUUUUAACUUUGAUUUAAUUUUAUAUUUUUCAUGUAUUUUGCACAAGUUAGCAUUACUUAAUAAAUUGUAACGAAAUCAAGAAUCAUUGAUAAUUAAAUGUCAAAUCACCU